This 3450-nucleotide long non-coding RNA is filed under the name Homo sapiens (human). RNAcentral describes it as "HSALNT0387420". Lineage: Eukaryota; Metazoa; Chordata; Mammalia; Primates; Hominidae. The record is from RNAcentral.
UGCCAAGGGAGAAAACAGAAAAGAUUCAGGACGGGCUGCAGCUCUGUUGCGCCGGCAGGAAGCGCCUUCCCUGCCAGUCCUCCUGAUAAAGUGAGAGGUGCGGAGGACCAGCCCUUUUCAUUCCCCUGAAGGCAGGGAGAUCUUCCUAACCCAGAAUCCAAAAUGCUGCAGUUCCAGAAGGGCCUGCCUGUGGUUCCAGGCAAACACCAGGCAGCUCCAGAGCACAGGGUGGGUCUGGCAGGCAGCUGGGAGCAUGUUAUGGACUCGGGCUGGAAGGGGAAUGAGUUUCCUUUCCCUACAGCAGCUGUCCCAGUGCCCUGCUGCUUGCAAAUGUCCUGAGUGACCAGUCUGGGCUCCCUGUCCAGUGCACCCCGACAUGUUCCCUGGGAUGAAUUCCCAGCGACAUGUUCCCUGGGAUGAAUUCCCAGCGUCUCCCUCUGCUCCUGUCACAUGCUGUUUUGAGGAACCAUCCCUGGCUCCCUGUUGAUGAUUCCUGAUGUACGGGCUGCCCAAGCACAACCCCUUCAGGCGUGGGAAGCCGACUUCCUUCCCGGCGGGUGGAAACAGCCAGUGAGCAGAGUGUUUUGGGGGGUCCUCUUGUCUGUUCCUACAGGGCAUUCACUGGUGACCCACACUGACACUGCUUUUUGGAGGACAAGGCAGAGUUGACCAUCCCAGUCUUGCCUGGAGGUCAUAGGACCGUUGUCACUGCAGCCUCAGGUCUGAUGCAUAAUCCCAUGACCCUCCAGAUCUGAGCCAUGACCCACUCUGGGCCCUGCCGGCGGGGAGGCGGUGGGCCCAUGGGGGCUGCCUCACUGGCCUCCCUCGUCCUCUAUUCCGGGUUGGGGUUGGCUCUCAGCACACUGGGGAAAAGGGUGGGGUCGAUGACUUGUCCCUGGCUCCCUCCCCUUGCCCCAUGCCUGCCAUAACCGCAGCUUCAGAGAAAGGUGCCACACUCGCUUGGCUGACAAUGUCGGGGAGUCCCCUGGGCUCCACACCAGGGCGUGUGCCCUUGGAAAACCACGGUGACUGAAUCAUGUCCCUUUCAGCCAAAACUGGAAGACAGCCCAGCUCCCUGCCUUCAGGUGACCAGAUCUCUAAGUCACAUUACUGGCCCCAGGGUCAAGUCCAGGCUCCCCAGCUGGGGUACCUCCCAGGCUGAGUACAGGCCUUGCUCCCUCCUUCCUCCCUGCACGUGCUCUGAGCCUCCAGCCCGACGCCUGGGAUGCCGGUGCCCCUUGGGCCCCAGACCCUACUACUCUUGAGUGACAGGCCUCUUCCUAGGGGUUUCUGUGCAUCCGUCACAUCACCCACGUUAGAGUCCCUUCCUGUGAGGACAGAAGGGCCCUGAAGACAGAGCCGGCCCCUGGUGAGCUCUGCUUUCCCGCACUGACCCCUCCUGGGCUGCAGCUCCCCACCUGGCAGCUGCCGCCCCCCAUGGCCCUGGUCGAGGUCACCUGUCGUUCCCGUCCCCACCACUCACCAAGCGCUCCCAGGUUCUCCGUCUGGAAGACCCUCUGCAGCGGGGGGAUGUAAAUGACCGCCAGCUGCCCCAGGAUGGACCCCAGGACGGAGUAGAGGAACAUGUGGUUCCUGAGAAAGCCGAUCUCAAAUAUCAGCUUGGUCUGCAGGGAGAAGGUCACACGGGGGAUUGUGUGCUGUCCACACCCCAGGUACAGGCAGGGGAGCUCUGACUGCCCACGCUGAGCCAGAGCCGCUCAAUGCUGCGGGCAGGGUCGGGGCGCUGCUGUCGAGAACACACAGCAGCUCUGCAGCGAGGAGGGUCAGCCCGGGUCUCACCUGAGAGCGGCAGGUCAAGGCGUUGAAGAGAUCGAAAAACACAAAACAAGUGAACGUCAUCGUCGUGGUGCGGGGAGUGCUUGCUCUGUCUUCAGGCAUCUGGAAGGUGAGCACAAAGAAGAUAAAGAGGGUCCCGCUGAUGAUGAUGGCCGCGGACAUGAGGAUCUUCAGGAUGAGGGCUCUGCUGAGGAUGGUGUCCCGCACACUCCGUGGUGGCUGCCUGAAGGCGUCUUUGUCAACGGGCUCUACCCCCAAGCUGCUCCGAACAAGACACAGACACUUUGAAAUGAACCAGGAAUGAAAUAAAGGACCCUUGAAACAGCUGUGCCUGAGCCUCCCAGGCCAAGUUGGCACAGGGGGCAGGGCCAGGCAUUUGCUGAACGCCCCCAGGCAUCGCACCUGCCCUCCUCGGCACCUUCCAGAAGCCCCAGAGCCUGGGUCCAUGGGCAGCUGUGCCCCUCCAUCUGUCCCGCAGACAGUGAAGGAAGACCACCCCGUAAGGCCAACCACACACAGUUCCAUACACCCAGAUGAUCUCCAUCACCCCGAGGGGACCCCCCCCAACGUUGCGCCUGGAGAAACAGGCUCCAGGCUCCGCCCUCCGCAGAGCCCCUCAUCAGCUGAGAGAGACCAGCCUCCAGCCAACUCCACACAGCAGGGUUGAGGCUAGACCCGCAGCAGGCGGUAUGGUGGGAGUGGCCGGGUGAGGCCCUGCCGCUCAGACACAGCUGAGGCCAGCUUCCUGGUCCCACUUCUGCUCCCAGGGAGGGCUGGCAGGAGAGGUAACCCUCACACUUGGCUUUGGGGACACAAAUGAGGACUCUCUUUCCCUUGGCAGCUAUCACUGGUGAUAACAGCAGCACUGAGCUCCAGCGGAAGCACUGGCUCUGUGCUCAUACGGUUACGCACACGUGGCCAGAUGGGUCCCCUGACUCCAAAGCGCAUUCCUUCCCCCACACCACUUGGCCAGCUUGUUGAAGGGGAUAUUAAGUGGCGGAGCGGGUGGACUCCUGAGCACCUACUGAGUGGCAAGCCCUUUAUCUCUAGACAUCAGGGAUGAAACACAAACUCCGCCUCCAUGAAACUGAUGUUCUAAAGGGGAGACAGAUCACAAUCAGAUCCAUAAGGAAAAGUGUGUCUGUGUGUAUCUUCCUCUCUAGGGAAAAAUACAGCAGGGUGAGGGGAUUGAGUGGGAGUGCAAUCAGGGAAGACUUCCUGAAGGCAGUGACUGGUGACUGGAAUGAAGCAUGAGAAUGAGCCAUGCAGGUUGCCCAGAGAGAGCAUCCAGGCAGAGGGAGCAGAAAGUUCCAUCCUCACCCAGCUCUGCCGGCCCAGGUACUUUCUCCUCUGCCUUCUACUCCCAGUCUCACUGCAGUGCAACACACUUCAGUUUUCUGGGAACUCCUGAUGGAAAGUGGCUGUAUUUGUUCAUCCCUAUAGCCUUGGGGCACAGCCAGCAGCCCCUGGAGGAAGCCCCGCAGGUGGGUAAAGAGACACAGGGCUCCCAGCCGGCCCUGCCUCACCUCUGCGCCGGUGGCCCAUCCAUGAUGAUGUUGAUCCAUAGGAUCUGCAUGGCGUUGAGGGGGCUGGGCAGGUUGAACACGGUGGACAGAGUGAUGAGACUCAGGGCGGAGAUGCUCCUGCGGGGCA